Molecule: ribosomal RNA, 91 nt
Filed under: Clostridiales bacterium
Lineage: Bacteria; Bacillati; Bacillota; Clostridia; Eubacteriales
Description: partial 16S ribosomal RNA
Rfam family: Bacterial small subunit ribosomal RNA
Source: RNAcentral
UUUAUUUAAGAGUUUGAUCCUGGCUCAGGAUGAACGCUGGCGGCGUGCCUAACACAUGCAAGUCGAGCGAGCUGACCUAUUAGAAACCUUC